RNAcentral lists this ribosomal RNA (249 nucleotides) under uncultured bacterium. Its description in RNAcentral is "partial 16S ribosomal RNA". It matches the Rfam family "Bacterial small subunit ribosomal RNA", at positions 15 to 257 of the family's 1533-position model. The record is from RNAcentral.
GAUCAUGGCUCAGGAUGAACGCUAGCGACAGGCUUAACACAUGCAAGUCGAGGGGCAGCGAGGGAGUGGCAACACUUCUGUCGGCGACCGGCGCACGGGUGAGUAACGCGUAUGCAACCUGCCCUUCACAGGGGGGAUAACCGGGAGAAAUUCCGACUAAUACCGCAUACGUCCUUUGGGGGCAUCCCCGGGGGAUGAAAGAAUUAUCGGUGAAGGAUGGGCAUGCGUGAUAUUAGGUAGUUGGCGGGG